AUUCUUUUAUCAAUAAUAAAAUCCUUUGCUGUCCACUUACGUCGGUGAAGUUCAUAAAACAACAUACGAAAGCAAUAACAUAAUCAUCAUCAUGAAAUCAUAUGAACUGUAUAACAUAAUACUUACCACGUCUUUGCAUUUCAAUCAUUACACAACAUAUUUUCCUCAUUUACCAGCCUACUAGUAUCCAUGGGGAUCCAUAGGGGUCCCGCUACCUGUGAACCCUUAACAUUUGUAAUCAGAUUCCAGGGCCGUCCCAUACCCCGACCGGUAUGGGCGCUAAAACCAUAAACCUCAAUACCCCGUCUGGUAUGAGGGUGAAACGGGCUGUCCCCAUACCCCGUCCGGUAUGGGCGCCAAAACACAUAAGGUCUCCAUACCCCGUCCGGUAUGAGAGACCACAAUCCCGGUAGGGUUCCCUACGGACCCGGUCCAUCCACCAUCUCCCAGGAUAUCUAGUCAGGCUGACCACAUUAUACAAUUAUCAAUUUUCAUAACCUUUUAUUUCCUUUUCCUCAGUCAGCAUCAUCAAAUCACACACAAACCAGCAAACCAGUAAUUUAUGCCAAACAAGACAACACACAACAUCGGGUUCUCAGUCAUUCAACCCAAAAUCAAUAAAAUAGUGAUAUAUGCACACGAAACUAUGAAAUGAGGACAUCAGACAUCAUA
This 672-nucleotide long non-coding RNA is filed under the name Carica papaya (papaya). RNAcentral's name for it is "long non-coding RNA (CPAP_LNC001150)". Lineage: Eukaryota; Viridiplantae; Streptophyta; Magnoliopsida; Brassicales; Caricaceae. The record is from RNAcentral.